This 77-nucleotide transfer RNA is filed under the name Thermochromatium tepidum ATCC 43061. RNAcentral's name for it is "tRNA-Arg". It matches the Rfam family "tRNA". From Rfam's summary of the family: Transfer RNA (tRNA) molecules are approximately 80 nucleotides in length. Their secondary structure includes four short double-helical elements and three loops (D, anti-codon, and T loops). Lineage: Bacteria; Pseudomonadati; Pseudomonadota; Gammaproteobacteria; Chromatiales; Chromatiaceae. RNAcentral also lists the same sequence under 1 other name. The record is from RNAcentral.
GCGCCCGUAGCUCAGUUGGAUAGAGUACAGCCCUCCGAAGGCUGGGGUCAGAGGUUCAAGUCCUCUCGGGCGCGCCA